RNAcentral lists this long non-coding RNA (212 nucleotides) under Elaeis guineensis (African oil palm). RNAcentral describes it as "long non-coding RNA (EGUI_LNC052003)". Lineage: Eukaryota; Viridiplantae; Streptophyta; Magnoliopsida; Arecales; Arecaceae. The record is from RNAcentral.
CACUGAUAUAUUAACUCCUACUUAUUCAGAGAGGUCAAUUCCAUCUUGACUCACACACCGACUUCACAAGUAUUUGACUAUGCCCAAAAAUCUUUCAUCAUUGAAUUAAAAAUUCAGGUAGUCUAGCACCAAAGUAUAGUGAGUUGCUUGCAAGUCACCGUGGUGAUCUCAGAUCGGAGGGACACUUAUACCUAUAUCCCUUCGUAGUGACU